AACGAACGCUGGCGGCGUGCUUAACACAUGCAAGUCGAGCGGGAAAGUUUCCUUCGGGAAGCGAGUACAGCGGCAGACGGGUGAGUACAACGUAGGUAACCUACCCUCGAGACCGGGAUAACCUGUCGAAAGACGGGCUAAUACCGGAUAAGACCACAAGGGCUGCGGCCUUUGAGGUAAAAGAUGGCCUCUGCUUGCAAGCUAUCACUUGGGGGAUGGGCCUGCGCGCCAUUAGCAGUUGGUGAGGUAACGGCUCACCAAGGCAAAGAUGGCUAGCUGGUCUGAGAGGAUGGCCAGCCACACUGGGACUGAGACACGGCCCAGACUCCUACGGGAGGCAGCAGUGGGGAAUAUUGCGCAAUGGGCGAAAGCCUGACGCAGCGACG
RNAcentral lists this ribosomal RNA (386 nucleotides) under uncultured bacterium. Its description in RNAcentral is "bacterial SSU rRNA". It matches the Rfam family "Bacterial small subunit ribosomal RNA", at positions 29 to 396 of the family's 1533-position model. The record is from RNAcentral.